Molecule: ribosomal RNA, 352 nt
Filed under: uncultured Spirochaeta sp.
Lineage: Bacteria; Pseudomonadati; Spirochaetota; Spirochaetia; Spirochaetales; Spirochaetaceae
Description: bacterial SSU rRNA
Rfam family: Bacterial small subunit ribosomal RNA
Source: RNAcentral
GGCGUACAGGUGCUGCAUGGCUGUCGUCAGCUCGUGCUGUGAAGUGUUGGGUUAAGUCCCGCAACGAGCGCAACCCCUGCUGCCUGUUGCCACCACGAGAGGUGGGGACUCAGGCGGGACCGCCGGUGACAAACCGGAGGAAGUGGGGACGACGUCAAGUCAUCAUGGCCCUUAUGUCCUGGGCUACACACGUGCUACAAUGGCCGGUACAGAGCGCAGCGAGGCCGCGAGGCGGAGCGAAUCGCUUAAAGCCGGUCCCAGUACGGAUUGGAGUCUGCAACCCGACUCCAUGAAGUUGGAAUCGCUAGUAAUCGCGCAUCAGCAUGGCGCGGUGAAUACGUUCCCGGGCCUU